This 345-nucleotide unclassified non-coding RNA is filed under the name soil metagenome. RNAcentral describes it as "partial contains 5.8S ribosomal RNA, internal transcribed spacer 2, and large subunit ribosomal RNA". The stretch from base 1 to 120 matches the Rfam family "5.8S ribosomal RNA", at positions 35 to 154 of the family's 154-position model. The record is from RNAcentral.
GAUGAAGAACGUAGCGAAAUGCGAUAAGUAAUGUGAAUUGCAGAAUUCAGUGAAUCAUCGAAUCUUUGAACGCAUCUUGCGCUCCUUGGUAUUCCGAGGAGCAUGCCUGUCCGAGCGUCAUUGCUGCCCUCAAGCACGGCUUGUGUGUUGGGCCUCCGUCCUCCUCCCGGGGGACGGGCCCGAAAGGCAGCGGCGGCACCGCGUCCGGUCCUCGAGCGUAUGGGGCUUCGUCACCCGCUCUUGUAGGCCCGGCCGGCGCUUGCCGACACAUCAAUCUUUUUUCCAGGUUGACCUCGGAUCAGGUAGGGAUACCCGCUGAACUUAAGCAUAUCAAUAAGCGGAGGA